UACGUAGGGGGCAAGCGUUGUCCGGAAUCAUUGGGCGUAAAGCGCGUGUAGGCGGCCCGGUAAGUCCGUUGUGAAAGUCCAGGGCUCAACCCUGGAAAGCCGAUGGAUACUGCCGGGCUAGAGUUCGGAAGAGGCGAGUGGAAUUCCUGGUGUAGCGGUGGAAUGCGCAGAUAUCAGGAGGAACACCUAUAGCGAAGGCAGCUCGCUGGGACGACACUGACGCUGAGACGCGAAAGCGUGGGGAGCGAACAGG
Molecule: ribosomal RNA, 253 nt
Filed under: uncultured prokaryote
Description: partial 16S ribosomal RNA
Rfam family: Bacterial small subunit ribosomal RNA
Source: RNAcentral